Molecule: long non-coding RNA, 708 nt
Organism: Apis laboriosa (Himalayan honeybee)
Lineage: Eukaryota; Metazoa; Arthropoda; Insecta; Hymenoptera; Apidae
Exons: 5
Source: RefSeq, a predicted model, not a curated record
GGCGAACCUGUGGCGCGGGGCGUCAUUCGUCUGUCGAAAAUCAUCGUGACAAGGUGCGUCAUCCGUCGAGUGCGAAAUUUUAACUACGCAAUUAUCGUUCUGUGAAUUGUAAUUCUUGUGUUCUUAUUGUGACUUGGGAAGGAAGCAUGCAUAUCUCACGACAAUUUAUAGCCAUAUCAUGACAUAUCAGAUAUUAACUCGCAAGAAGCAUCUUAAAUAAAUACGAGAAAGAUUUGGAUUACAUCUGAAUGAAAGAAAAUGGCUAGAAGUCAGAUGCAAUAGUAAGUUUGGAAGACAAUACCGGAAGGCGAAAUGUGCCUAAUUGUUUUCUUCCCAUCUAUUCAUCUUCUCUUUCAUCAUGCCAGAAGCUAUUAUGUAUUGCAAAAACGGGGCAAGAUGUGUCUCCAUCUUCACGGAUUCAUCAUAAUUGUUUCUUUUCUCUUCGUUGGACCGCGAACGAUUUAUCAACGGGGCGAGGGAGGGAGGAUAGAUGGAUGUUAUCCUUUUUAAAUCCCACAGUUCAAACAUGGAUUCUUCUUUUUAGCUUUAGAAGUUUUGCAUUUUAGAUUGUACGGUAUAAUUAAGAUUUUUUUUUAAAAAUUUUACUCGUAUUUCGUUAUGAAUUUAAAGGUUUCAGUGUUAUUUAUUGUUCGAAUAUUAUAUCGUUGAAAGAGUGGAGUAAAUAGUAGCGAACGAGAUUUGUUGAAU